This 498-nucleotide ribosomal RNA is filed under the name uncultured bacterium. RNAcentral's name for it is "partial 16S ribosomal RNA". It matches the Rfam family "Bacterial small subunit ribosomal RNA", at positions 30 to 523 of the family's 1533-position model. The record is from RNAcentral.
AUUGAACGCUGGCGGCAUGCCUUACACAUGCAAGUCGAACGGUAACAGGUCUUCGGAUGCUGACGAGCGGCGAACGGGUGAGUAAUACAUCGGAACGUGCCCAGUAGUGGGGGAUAACUACUCGAAAGAGUGGCUAAUACCGCAUGAGAUCUACGGAUGAAAGCAGGGGAUCGCAAGACCUUGUGCUACUAGAGCGGCCGAUGGCAGAUUAGGUAGUUGGUGGGAUAAAAGCUUACCAAGCCGACGAUCUGUAGCUGGUCUGAGAGGACGAUCAGCCACACUGGGACUGAGAAACGGCCCAGACUCCUACGGGAGGCAGCAGUGGGGAAUUUUGGACAAUGGGCGCAAGCCUGAUCCAGCAAUGCCGCGUGCAGGAUGAAGGCCUUCGGGUUGUAAACUGCUUUUGUACGGAACGAAAAGCCCCGGGUUAAUACCCUGGGGUCAUGACGGUACCGUAAGAAUAAGCACCGGCUAACUACGUGCCAGCCGCCGCCGUAA